GAUGAACGCUGGCGGCGUGCCUAAUACAUGCAAGUCGAGCGAACGGACGAUAAGCUUUCUUCUCUGAUGUUAGCGGCGGACGUUUGUGUAACACGUUGAUAACCUACCUAUAAUACUUGGAUAACUUCGUGAAACCGUAUCUUAUACCGGAUAAUCUUUUUAUCCGCAUGUUUCAUAAGUGAAUGACGGUCUUUCUGUCUCUUAUAGAUGUAUCCUCGCUUCAUUAGCUAGUUGGUAAGGUAACGGCUUACCAAGGCAACGAUGCAUAGACGAACUGAGAGGGUGAUAGGACAAACUGGAACUGAGAAAAGGUCAAGAAGACGAAGGGAGGCAGAAGUAGGGAAUAUUACGAAAUGGGCGAAAGCAUGAAGGAGAAAGGACGAGUGAGUGAAGAAGGUCUUCGGAUAGUAAAAAUCUGUUAUUAGGGAAGAAAAUAUGUGUAAGUAAAUGUGCACAGAGUGACGGUAACUAAUCAGAAAGAAACGGAUAAAUACGUG
This 497-nucleotide ribosomal RNA is filed under the name uncultured bacterium. Its description in RNAcentral is "partial 16S ribosomal RNA". It matches the Rfam family "Bacterial small subunit ribosomal RNA", at positions 28 to 507 of the family's 1533-position model. The record is from RNAcentral.